CACAAGUACUUCAACAAAAAUGAAGAAUCAAAGAAACAUAGCGUUAACUAGUUUCUUACUUUUUACAAAUAAUAUACCCAUUCAGUUUCCACAGGCAGCGGUUUUGACAAAAACUUCAACAAAGUUCAACUAACUCAGACUAGCCUUCCAUUUUUGGGUUAAUUUAGACCAGCUAAAGGAACAGGUGAGGUGAGAUCACAACCCUAAACCAAGCCUGUGGUAUUAUACCAUACCCAGAGCAUGUCAGAAUGAUAAUACUCUGUUUUUUUACUAACUACUAUCAAGGUUGGACUAAUUUGGAAAGAUUGGCAUUUACUUUAUACUCCCUUGCUCCUCCAACUGUUUCUUUUUUUUUUUUUUUUUUCCUUUAAGUACCCUUGUCCAACACUGACAUCAAACACAUAUCCAAUCAUGGCCAUGGGGAAUACAAUUCUCCAAGAACUGUCCAAAUACAUGUAAAAACAAAUUAAAAAAUGAACACAACUGUGUUCAAUGCAUGCUCAUAUCCAAUACUCACACCCAAGUCCAAGUAACAUGGAAACCCACUAUUUAGUCAUGGUUUUGGUUCCCAGUCGAAUUUUAUUAGUAGCAAUGAUUGGGGCUAUAACUGACCAUACAAGAAGACAUAAGGUGAAAAGACCAGUCAGCUGGUGUACUUCACUAGCCGUGAGUUUUUAGAACAUGAAAAGUAAGGAAUUCUAAAGUUUAGUCAUUGUAAGAAUGGUUUAGUUUAAUAGUUGCAUCAAAGUUUAAUAAUAACAUGCUAAGCUAAAACGAAAGGGUUAAAAAAAAAAAAGGAAGAGUAAAAAACAAGCAUCUUACCUGUGAAGCAACACCUGGAUGGUUUUUGAUGACAUCACGGCGGACACCCAGUGAUCGGAAGUAGUAAGACCUUGAUGCUUGAAGAUCUCCAUCAUAAUACUUUAGGUCUCCGAUUUUGUUAAGUGAAACGGAUAAUGUAUGUGUGAUCUGCAGAAAGUAUGUUUGAAAAUGAUGAUCAUGACGGCCUAAUUAAUAAGAAAGCAUCGCAAGGAAAGUUUGUGUUGUAACCUCAAGAUCAUCAGCUGGCAAUUUUGUAAGGAACUCAACACUCUCCUCGAAAUAAUUGAUUGCAGCAGCAGCAUCUCCCAUUGCUCGACUGCAAAAAACUUGAACGUUCAGUUUUACUCAAACAAUUGCCUUGCAAAUAUAAAGAUGUCUUCUCCAGUUGUCCAUAUUAGACAGUUUGGCUUUAGACAGUUUUGCUCUUUCAGGAUUCUUCUCUAAGUUUUCUGAUAUCAUGCUUACAGUCUAUGAAGCACGGACUCUUCUGUAAAGGGAGCAUCUACAUGUCAGAUAUGGAUACAGCUUUGACAUGGCAAAAUACAUGUGAGGACAUGUAAAAAUCAAUAAAAACAAAAUCGGAUACGAGCAAAACAUGGUCAAGAUUAGACACACCCAUUUUUUUGCAUUCAUCUCCUAAAUAUAUAAGACAAUGACCAAUUGGGUUAAAUUAGGUUUUUAAAGAGUUCAAGUUUUAAAAUUCAAAAACAAAAUCUAAAAAAGCUAUUUGCAUAUUAAUAUUUAAUUAAAAAGUAUCAAUUUUACUUGUUUACCAUAUACCAUUACAUUAAAAAAACUUUUUAUUGUUGCGUCAUGCCAUAUCCUAUGUGUCACGUCUGACAUAGGAGAAAUAUUAUGUUAUUUUAUAAUUUUAGUCUUACUUCUUAAUCAGUAGACAUAUAAAUAGACACCUAGGAUUAUAAGAUAUCUUUCGGGUUUAAAUCUAGAGCUAGGAUUAUUAGUUACCAUUAGGGUGUAAAUCUAAGGCUUGAUUAAAACUUUAUUUGUAACCCUAGCAUAAAUAAGUUGUAGUUAUUUACAGCCACAUCAUUCUUGUUAUUUUCUUUGAAUUAAUAGAAAAAGUAAAGUUUUUUAUAACUCUGUUUUUUCUAGAGUUCCAACUUUUUCUGCUCAUUUUUCAGUCCAAAUUCUAGUGAUUUACUGUUAUUUUCCCCGUAAGUGUCUAAACCACACCGGUGUUGCACCCAAAUUAUGAGUCAUUCUGAGUACUCCCUAGCCUAAAAUUAGGCCAAUCUUCACCUCAGAUUUUUGUUUAUCUUCAAAAACAAGAUUAUCAUAAGGAUAACAAAUGAAUAUAAUUCCCAAACAUAUCUGAAUUCAACUAAAAAUCAGUGCUCUUCAAAAAGCCAAUCUUUUUGCAUGAAAUAGUCUCACAUUUUUCACAACAGAACUCUUGAAACAUCCUCAACAACCAUUCUAUCUCCGCAACAUUAAUGUCAAUAAAGAUUCUCCUUCAUGAUCUUAAAAGACCCUCAGUCACACUUUAAGGCCAAAAAAAGGAUUUCCCAUCAAUUAUUUCCAAGAUUUAAAGUCAUUUGGCAAGCUUCAACAUUCGUUAGUUGAAUUAAGGAUUAGUCUUGGCCUCAACCAGUCAUGCAACUUUUAAGGAAGAGGGGAGGGAAGUUAGAUGAUGAUUCAGAAAUUUGAAGUGAAAUUUCUUUGAUUUCAAUAAGAAAGUUCAAUAUUCUACCAUACAAGUGCUAUAGCAAAAGAAACUCAUUAGACUCUUUCAAAAAGAUAUUUGCUCAACAAAGCAUUCCCUAGAGUAUGUUGCUUUGACGCUCUGAAAUCCCUAUGUCUAAUGCAUAUCUAGACAUGGAUAUCAGUAUCUAAUCCUCCAAGGAUUCUACCAAAUACAUGAAAAUCUUAUAAAAACUGAACAUACCCAUGUUGGAUACAUAUCCAUAUCCAAGACAUACCAUACCCAAGUAACGUUGUACCAAAUCCAUAUCCAUAUCCAUAUCUAUAUCAAGAUCAAAGAGCUCAAGGAAAGACACGUUAUCAUAUUUGGAUUUACAGCAAGCAUUAAGAUUUAGAAUGAAAGUCGAAUUACGAAUCACAGUGACACAACUAAACAUAUGCAAUAAAGAGGAAAGAGAGGAGCGUGUCUAGGAACAUACCAGCAGUCACCAAGCAUACCCAGAACUGCACCAAGCUGUGAGCACAACUCAGAUGUGUUUCCUAUUUUCUCUAAUUGAUCUCGGAUGUCUUCCGCACACAUAAUGAGUCUAGAUUUAGCACUUUCGAUAUUCUGUGCACGGAAUGCCUGAAUAAAGCAAGCAUAAACCAAUUCCAAAUAAUCGAAACAGGCUGCUAGGAGUACAGAAAUAAAGCUACAAGCACGACACUUACCCUCAUGGCCUGUUGCACCAAGAAAGCACCUCGGUCCAACGAGACAUCCUCGUAAAUUACCUUCUUAUCGUCAGUUGAAACUUGCUCUCCUUCACCAUUGACGCCAACAUGUGCUCUUUUGAUCCUAGCAUGCCCUUCAAUAAAUCGAUCAACCAUGCUUUGAAGAUUGAUGUCAGCUUCCAGUUUCUCUAUGUCAGCUCCACAUAGUGGACAAUCCUUAAACCGAGAUAUACACACUCUAAAAGGAAUGCAAAGUUAUCAUUAGAUCUAAAGGAAUAAAAGGGUUCUUCUAAGCAAUUGCAUCCAACAAAUAUUCAACAUGGUACCGCAGGAUCAAUGACCAUCCAAAUUUAUGAAAAUAAUAUAAUUGCAUAACGAUAGGCACACCCUUAAACCGAUAUAUACAAUCUAAAAGGACUACAAAGUUAUCAUUAGAUCCAUGUUGCUUGGGUUCUUUCAUUUUCCAUGAAGUACCUGUGCCCGAGUAUACUCAACAUUAAGUAACAUAAACAUUACAAGCAGGGGGAAAAAAAGCAGAAAAAGGGGUCAAUUAUGGAAAAAUGAAGACAAAACAUUCACUAUCGUAGAAAAGGAAGUCGAAUAAGGAAAACCCCACAAAUAUUAUCACAAAACUUGCAGCAAAAAACAGUCAAAUAAGAAAAAAAUGCAUCAACGAAUUAACAUAAAAAGGUAAAAAGAAAUCAAAUCAAGGAUUAUAAUAAAUAAUUAUUUAAAAAAAAGCAUAAAAACAGUCGAAUAAGAAAAAGAGAUCAAAGAAUUAUCAUAGAAAACAGCAAAAGAAGUGAAAUAAGAAAACCCAAUCGGAAGAGGAAAAUAAGGGAUUAUUGAUUAUUACUUGCAAAAGAGAUGAGAACACGGGAUACAUUUGGUGCAGUCAAAGAGAAGUGCUUGACAGAUCAUACAACUGAGAGGACCGAGCUUAAAAUUAUUGGAAUCGUAACCAAAAGGGCAUUUCGGAGACACGGUGGCGGUAUCACCGGAAUCUUUCCUUGUUGCUUCGCUGCCGCCGACGGUGGAUUUUUUGGCCGAACCAUUAUCGUCCGGUCGAGCCGCUUUCACGAAUGGGCAAACCGGAGUGGUCAUCUUUAUCUAUCUACCUAUAAAAACAAAAGAACGAAAAAAAAUCCCAUAUAUAGUUAGGAUUGCAGAUUCGAAACGACGUCGUUAUUGUUUCUAGGCCCCCAAUCCCUUCUGCAACGCGUAUUCACCUCAACGACUCGUGUCUUUGUCUGUAAUUUUCCUUUUAUUUUAGCAUUAAAAUCCUUAUAAUUUCUCUUUAUUUUCAAUAAAACCCAUAGAGUGUAGAUUUUUCUCUCUUACAGCCUCCAUGUUUUUUUUUGUUUUUAUUUUAUUUUUUAAUUAAAGAGCAUUUAGGGUUGGUAAAUUUGGAUUAGUACUCUAACUCAGGGGCGAAGUCAACAAAAAUUUUAGAAGGCCAAAAUUAAAUUGUAAUUUUUAUAAUAGUAAAAUUGUAAUUUCAUUAUUUUCAUAGCUUAUAUUUUUUAUAAUUUUUAAAAGAAUAAAUCAAAUUUUUAUCAUUAUUAAGAGGUAAAAUAUAGUUUUACCUUUACUAAUUUAAAAUUUUAAAAAUUUUAAAAGACCUAAAUAAAAAAACUUUUUAAGGAGAUCGGGCCUUGCCACCCCUUCACGCCCCUGCUCUAACAUAUGUUCAUAUUUAAAUAAAAUUUAUUUUUAUUUAAUUUUACUUGUUUGCAUAAAAUUAAAGGUACAAUGAUUUACUCGAUUUUAUAAUUCAUGGACUAAACUAUAAUUUUAACUAUUGUACAAAGAUUGUCUAAAGAAUUUACCCUUUUCAAAAAUGGAUGAGAACCAUUUAUUUUCAAAGUCAAAUUAGUUGAACAUUAUGAUUAUGCUUCCUUCAUUUUGUUUAUAUUUACAAUGAAUUAAGAUAGGGUUUAAAUUUUAAAUUUACCAUUCAUUUUAGUUCAAAAAUUACUCUCUUUUUUUUUUUUUGAGAAUGCAUUCCUCAGCGACUACUAUUUUUAUAAUUUAAGGGCUUUUUAAUUAUUUUAUUAAAUUAAAAGUUAGAUUCUUAAAAGAUAAGCAAUAAAUUUGAUCUAUUUCCUUAAAUAAAAUGAUAAUCUUUGAAGUUUAAGCUAUGGGUAUUUUAAUGGGUUGACUUUUUUUUAGAUUCAGAAUUAUGAAAGAGUUAAUCCAGUCUGAUAAUGUAAAGGUUAUGAAGGUUAUCUAAGAGUUCUUGUCAAGAGCAUUAAAUUUUAUUUUGAUCAACCAAAUUCAUCAACUUUUAUCAAAAGACAGACAGCAGAUCUUACAACAAGUCCUAGAGAGGAUAAAAAAUUAUGUACAGCUGUACAAAUUUCCUCCAAGGGAGAUUUCCUUUUAGUUUAGACCUAGUAAAACCAUGUUAUUCAGAUUUCUUUUUAGACGUGUAUAUAAAGCUUAUGGCGAAUUGACCAAGUAGGUACUUUUAUUAUAAAAAUUGAAUCAAAUUAGUCCCUCUAUUAUUAAAUCAAUUUAAUUUUUGUAAGCCUAUACUAUUGAAAAGAAUAAAAUUAAGUCUAAUUUUCAACAAAUUUAAUAUUUAAUAUUUAAUAUUUAACAAUGUUAUAUUUUAAAAGCUUUUUGACUAAAUAUUUUAUUUGGAGUUAAACUAUAAAUGAAAAAAAAAACUUUCAUGCCAGUUUUUAAAUAAUAAAUGUUAACUUCGCUACAAUUUGAACUUAUUUAAUUCUUUUUAAUGAUUAAAGGAUUAUAUUGAUUCAGUCCUUAAAAUAGAGGGACUUCACCUAAAACUUAUAUAGCAAUUUUAUUUUUUUAACAAAUAAAGAAUUUAUUCCAAUGAAAAAUGGUUUACGAAGUCCGGUUGGAUAUUGUUGGCCCACUAAAAUCAAGAAAACCAGGAGCAUAUAACAAACCAGGUAGACUAAAUCAUGCACACCAAGUAACAAAGCAUUAGAAAUAACAAGAGGCCUACACAUCAAACCCACAAGACAGCAUAGCAAAUCCGGUAUCUCGGAUCCACGGAGGCAAAGGCGGAAGCCAAUCAGCAACAAACACGAGCAUCCAACGCCCACAACAUGAGAUGGUUGAUUUUAGCACCACUGGCAUAGAAGAUGGUGUUGGACUGUAGCAAUAUCUUUUAUAUUGUUACUCAAACUUGACUUUGAGUGUUAGAUGCAAGUAUAUGCCCGACACAGGUAAUCUCCAUUUGAAGUUUUUCCAUAUAUUUGGAUGGUCUUUGAGGAGGUAUAUCCCCAAACUCAUGUCUGAAAAUGCAUUGGACAUAGGUAUUUCAAGAAAGAUAAGGUACUAGACCAACAAAAUCUUUUUUAUCAUAAGCAACAUAUACAAGCAUUACAUGUUUGUAAAAUGAUCAAACGAGUACUAAUUAUGAUUCCACCAUGAUUAUCAAAAAAAAAAAAAUUGAAUGAAUUAAAGAGAUGCAAAGAAAAAGAACUCACAAGUUUCAACACACAGGGCCCUCUUAGAAAUGUCUUUUUGAACUGGAGACAUAAAAUCAAAGGACCUUUACACUUGGUAGGUAAUUGCUGUCAUAGAUCUGCAACAAGUUUUAAAGAAUAUCUGCAUUUUGAAGAUGAAGACCCUUGAGUUACCUGCAUUACAUUAUAAGCAUUGAUGAGUACAAAAUUUAAAUCUUCUACAAAAAAAAAAAAAAAAAUCAUAGUAAAAAGAUUAUAUUUUUAAGAAGUAGCGGGUCCCCCAACCUUCCUUGCCCUCCACUCAUAUGUUUCUAACCCUCAGAUGCAUGAGUCAGGUACGACAAUGGUGUACUUAUUCUUAUACCCAUGUCUGGAUAUGCACUGGACAUGUGUUCUUUGACAAAAAUGAAAGCCAAAGCAACAUAUGUAUAUCAAACAAAUAGGAAAUUCUCAAAAGUAACCGGGGAGUUUCGGUGUGAUAGCACUUGAGAGAUGUGACCUCAUUUGGUUUAUGGCCAUUACUUAUUUCCUCCAUACAAAAAAGAAAAAAAAAAAAAAAGAACGAAAAAACAGCACCUAGUUCCAUCUCAAGGUAAGAACUAAGAACACCACUUCAAAGUUUGCAGAAAUCCAAUCCUACUUAUGUUCAUUCAAAGACACAUGCAUUCCUCACUGCUGGUUAGAAAUGAGGAUGUUCAGGUAGUUCAAUAAAAAAAGGUCGAUAAAACACUACUACAUGAAGUCAAAUGGAUCUGAUCAAGACAUCUAAGAGAUUAGCAAAAACCCAUAUCAGCUUUCAAAAAUAUUUAACCAAUAAUUCUUGUAAAUACCAAUGACCGGAGGAGAGAGAGACUUAGAGAGGUGUCUUCUUAUCGUCUAAGCAUCAACAUAUUAUUUCAUCCAGAUAUACAUGAUCAGACUCAUUACAAGCUAAAACUCCAUCAAAAGAAUCCAUGAUGCAUGAAAAUUCAAAAAAGUUGUUUGGUCAGGAAAUUGCAUGAACGCAUGCAUGUGCAACUAUCACUCAAAUUUGGGUGCAAGUGUUGGAUACGAAUACAUGUCCAACAUGGGUAAAUUCAAUUUUUCUAAGUUUCUCCAUGUACUUAAAGGGUCCUUGGAGGUUUAUAUCCCCAUUUUAAACAUGAGUUGGACAUGGAAACUUCAAGCAACAUGAAGAGCCAAAGCAACAUAGAUAUGCCAUAAUAUGACUUUAGCAGAAUUAACAGAAAGAUAAAGAACAAACAUACCUUAAAGUCAGCCUCCUAGAAAUCAAACACAACUACUCAUGAGUGCCAAAGCAGAUCUUUACUAUUAAGCAAAGAUGACACCUUAUGGACAAGCUCUCAGUUAAGAUUAAGUCAUACCAACAAUACCACCUGGAAGGUCACAGAGAUUGAGCCAGCAACUCAGAACAGUAUUCCAAAAUUAUGAUAAAGUAUAACAAAUAAAACAUCAAAGGCAAAUCCUACUUAACUUUGCUAAAUCAAGCAUACAAAUAAAAGAAGCAUGAAAUGAAGACAAUCUUACUGCUCAUACAGCUAGAGGAAUCCUCGGAGGCAAUGUUGCACAUCAGCUGAAAAGUUAUGGCAUAUCUAUACAAUCACUGACAUCAACAUGGAUAUCAUAUUGCAGCAGAAGUUGUUGCAGUUUCAAAGCUGCAGUCUCUUCGGGGUUCUUGACCCACUUUUUCCCAAACCCAAGGAUGAAUGCUCGAUGAGUACCUUUAUUAGGCAGGAUACCAUCUCUAAUCAUCAUUUCCACCAAGUUGCAUGCCUUGUCCAGGUCUCCAAUGCCACAAAAUCCGUGAAUGAGAGUAUUGUAUAAUACCAGGUCCGGGCUCAACCCACUAUCAAGCAUCCUAACAAACAGAGCAUUAGCUUCUGUCAUCCGUCUUUCCCUGCAGUAGCCAUUAAGUAAAGCACUGCAAGUCAAGACAUCAGGUUUCACAGCGCAUUCACUCAUGUAAACCCAUACAAGAAAUGCUUCCUGAAAGUCCCCUUUCUUGGAGAGCCCAUCUAUGAUAUUUGUAAAUGUCACCAUAUCAGGAGAAACACCCCUUCGGACAAGCUCAUUCAGAAUAUCUUUCGCCUCAUUCGUAAAUCCUCUUUUAAUCAGGCUAUCAAUAAUAAUGUUAUAGGUUGUAACAUCAGGAGAAAUGCCAGCUGAUCUCAUCAUAUCUACAAGCAUAAAGGCCUUGUGUAAGUGGCCCAUCUUUCCAUAUCCAUCUAUUAAUGUGUUAAAUGUAACAACAUCCGGUACCAAACCCUCCAUUAUCAUCUUAUGAAAUAAAUAAUCUGCCAUUUCCAAGUCUUUGGAUUUGCAGCAAGCAUCAAUGAGCAAUGUGUAUGUAGUCACAGAUGGGCUAAUUCCGCAUUUUAACAUUUUCCCAAAAUAUUGAAAAGCUCUACCCAUAUCCCGAUCUCUACAAUAGCCUCCAAUUAUAGUGGUAUAACUAACACAAUCAGGAAGCAAGCCCAAUUCAAGCAUCUCUUGAAAUAUCAGAGAAGCUUUUACCAUGUUUCCUUCUGCACAAAACUUUGCGAUGAAACUAUUGUACACAAAAAUAUUGGCUUUAAGAUUAAAGAAUUUUAUAACAUUCAUUGCUUCCAUUGGUCUUCCGACUUUACAGUAACCUUCAACAACAGAACUAACCAAAACUGAAUCCGGAAAAACUCCAAAUCUAGUUAUUUUAAACAGCAUCGAAGUUGCUUCUCCUAAACAAGACAUCUUACAAAGAGUGUCGAUUAUGAUAGUAUAUGCAACAACGUCCGGUUUAAUGCCGUAGUUUUUCAUGUCCAUCAGCAAUUUCCAGGCACUUAAAAGGUGGCCUUUAUUGCAGUACAUGUUGAUAAACAAAGUAAUAAUCGACACAUUCAAAUGAAUCCCUUGCCUCAUCAUUCGAUCAAGAAAAUCCCAAGCCAAGUCCAAUUGAUUUAACCUUAACAUCGCCUUAAGCAAUGAAUUACAAACGCCAACUGACGGAAACAUGUCAAAAUGCUUCAUUUGGCACGUUAAUUCAAAUGCCAAAUCAGCCUUCUUUUCUCUUAUAUAACAAUCAACAAGCAUGCUAUACAAAGUUCGUAAAACUGUUUUAUCACUAUGAGUCUCGUAAAAGAGUUUCAACAAUUCAUCCACAGGAACAUCUUUGCUAACACUAACUCUCACUAAAUAUAGAAUAAAAUCCACCGCUAUAUGAUUCAUGUUCCCGGAAACUAAUAUAUGUAUCAUCUUACACACCGAUUUAUUCGAAUGCAAUGAUCCAAUGCAAUACUCAGACAACUUGAAGAAAUGCAAAGCAAGCUCAGAAUUCGAACUUUCAUCGAAUAAAUCAGUCAAAAUCCGAAUCAAAUUUGACUCAUUCAAAUCAACAGCAUGUAGAUUCUCGGGGUUAAUAUUGAAACCUCGUUUCGAGAGUAUCGAUUUGAUCAUACUCAUAGGGUUGUUGCAUUCUUCAGUGUGUUGUUGAGUGAUGAAAUGUUGGGAUUCUAAAAGACAUGAAGCACAUGAUGAGAAUUUCUUACUAGGAAUCUGCCUGAAUGGUUUUAUUGUGGUGAAAAAGAGCUUGCUGAGGAUUGAAGAAGAAACUUUCAUGGAAAGCUUGAAAUUUUGUGGUUCAUCAGCGAGAAAUGAGCUGAAAAAAAUGUAAAAAAUAUAUAUAUAUAACUAAUGGAGUCCUUAUGAGUUCAACAGACAAGGAAACAAUCUAUUUUCAUAGAAAUUAUAAAAAAAAAUGAAGAAAAAUGAAAAGGGGAGAGGAAGGGUUUAAAAAACCUGGUGCCGAGGAACAGAGGCGCCCAUAAAAUAAGAUUAACAGUCGAUAGCUUAGGUUUGCUUUAAAAUAUAAUAAAUAAUAAUAAGCAUUAUGUUCAUGGCCAGACUGGGCUGGGUUGAGUCGAGUCAGGUGAAACCGGAUCAAUUCAAAAUACUUUUAAUUUUAGUUAAAAUUUGUUAUUAGUCUCUCUAAUUUUAUGGAAUUUGCGAUUUAGUUCAUGAUUUUAAAAGUUUAAAAUUCAAUCUUCCUAUUUCUCAAUUUAAAAAUCCUAUUUCAAUCAUCGUUAUUGUUGAUAGUUUCUGUCAAAAUUUGUUAACUUAAUAUUUUUAUUUUCUAUCAAUCAUAUAUCACGUAAUAUUAAGAUAGCCUACUUGACAUGCCAAAUUGAUAAAUUUUGAAAAGAAAUACGGAAAACAAUAAUGACUGAAUUGAUAUUUUUAAAUUAGAAAAACAAAAAGGCUUAAUUUUUAACUUUUUUUAGUACAUGGAUUAAAUCUCAAAUUUUGUUAAAGUAUAGGGACUAAUGACACAUUUUAACCUUGGAUUUUUAAGGAUUUUUUUUUUUGUUUGAACUUUUAUUUUCAAAAAAAUUAAUAUUUAUAUCCUUUUGAUUUAAUAAUUGAAGUUCAAUUAAUAACCAUAUCAAAGAAUUUUUGUUAAAUUGAAUUAUGUGUCAUUUUUCUAUUAAAAAGUUUUCUCACAUAGACAAUAUUACCUAUUGAAUACGAAGUUUUAAAGUUUUCGAUUUUAUAUAUGGGGUUGUAAAAUUCUACGUCUAUUUUUGAGAAGUAAAAUAAAAUUCAAUAUAUCUAUAUAUAACAACAAAUUUAAUAAAAAAAUUAACAAUGUUAAUAGUUAGAUCUGAUUUAGAGAGACUAAAUUCUUGAAAAUAAAAAUAUAAAGAUUAAAUUGCAAAAUUUCAAAAAGUAAAGAGACUUGUGGAACAUUUUAACCUAUGAAAAAAAGUCUUAUCUUAAUUUAUUAUUUGAGUAAACAACAGCCAAAGUCCAUCUAAAAUAAGGUUGUCCUAUUUGGGUCACUCUAAACUUUUUUUCUCAAUUUAAUCACUCUAAUUAAAAUAAUUGUUCAAAUUGAUCAUUAUCGUUAAAAAUUCCAUUAAUCCACUAAUGGAUUGCUAACAUAGCACGAUAAUCCAUUGAGUGAUUAGUACGUGCUUUUGACUAAAGCUAGGGACCUCUUUAUAAUUAAUCCAAAACCUUUGUUUAUUCUUUUAUCUUUGUCAUUCUUUUUUUACAUAAAAAAUGGAGAAACCAAAGCCUUUACCAUUCUGUUUUGAGAAUUCACUGCAUCCACUGCUUCAGAAUCACCGUUUGUAAUCUUGAUAAUCCUAGAUAUCAACCAGGCAAAUCAUGUAAAUUAGUGUAACACUACAAAGAAUUUGUCAUAUAUCAACUUUUACUUUUAUUGGUACCAUGUAUUAUAAAAAGGUUAAAACAUACCACAGAUCCUUCUACUUUUUAUAAAUUUAGAAUUUAAUCCUUAUAUAUAUAUUUUUUAAAAUUUUACUCCUUUCUAAUGUUUGGUGAAAAAGCCAUACUUCUAAAAAAGUUUAUUAAAUGGAUUUUAAGUAAAAGCAUAACUACAUCCUUUAUUAUUUAAUUAUUAUUCUAUUUAUUUUUUAUUUUUAAAUUCAAUAAUUUUGAUAUAGAUGUCUUUUGCCCUUAUAUAUAUAUAUAUAUUUUGUAUCAACCUAAUUAAUCCUUGGCAAAUAUUUUGUCAUUUCAUGAUCUAAUAUUCUAAUUCACAUGGAAUCCCAAACAACUAUUAUGUCAUGUUUGGUUCAAUGAAAUGGCUAUUUCAUUAUGGCACGGUUCAAAAUUUUACAGUAAAACAAAUGUUUGGUUUAUUGAAAAUUCAAAAUGUCGAAUGAUGAUUUUGAGGCGUAUUAGCUAUUCCAACCUCUCCACCAAAUGAUCCUUCUUCCCCCCUCUCCCCCGAUUCUCAAUGGUUUCAUCUUUUCUUUUCUUUGACCAUCAACAAUCUCAAGCUCAAAUCAACCUAAAAGGAAAUAAAUCAACUUGAACGCCAAAUCAACUAGAUUUUUUUGUAAGUUCAAUUCAAUUAGGGUUCAUUUUGCAUUUUUAUUGAUUUUUUUUGAUGAUUUGUCCUAGGGAAAUCGAAAUGGAUUCUGCAUCUAUUCACAAGUAGAUUGAUUCGUUUUUCGGGUCAGCUCCUACUCUUAAAGAUCCUGCUAAAAUCAGUGUUAAAUUGAAUCAGUUCAUCCAAUUUGAUUAUUUUCUAAUAUUAUAUUAUAUUAUUUUUAUUAAAUUAUAUUUAAUAAUAAUUAUAUUAAAAUAUAAUUAAAUUAUUUUUUAUUAUUUUUAUUAAAUUACGUUUAAUAAUAAUUUUAUUAAAAUUUAAUUACAAUAAUCAUCUACCUACAAAAAAAAUUUUGCUAAAAUAACUCUCAUUUUUUUUCUUAUACUAUUAGAAUAUUUAUUCCAUUUAACCAAACAAUUAAAUUACUUAUCACAAUUAUAUUUUGUUACAGCUUUAUUCUGUUACAAUAGACCGAACGCAGUCAGAUAGUGCCAUCCAAAGUUAAUUUGAAUAUUCGAAGUGCAAAAAUUAAACUCUCCAACAUGAAUACAAAUAACUUAUCAUAUUUCACUUAUUUGGAUUUUUCUCAUUGAAUUUGAAUAAUAAUUUCUUUAUUAUUAAUUUUACUCUUUGUUUUUUUUUUUUUUUUUGAAUUAUGGCUUCUGCAACCCAAGCUGAAAAGGAGGAAGUCGAUUCCAGAUCUAUUUAAGUUGGUAAUGUGAGGUUUACCAACCCUUUUUUUCACUUGAACGGUCUUUAUUUGUUUAACUGGCUAAGUCAUCUACAUUUACCUUAUUAGCUGUCUGAUUUGUACUGUGAUUGGAGCAGAAUUGUGGGGCAUUUUUCAUGGUCUCUCCAUUGCUUGGGAGAAGGGAUUCAAGAAGGUAGUGGUGGAAUGUGACAGUUCCCAAGCUGUCCAGCUGUUGAAUGAUGGCCAGGCUGCUUCUCAUAACUUGGCAUUGGUUAGAAAAUAUAGUCGAACUGUGAGGACGUGGUUGUGAUAUUUGCAUUGUCCAGCUCCCACGGACUGCCAAUCAAGUGGCUGGCAAAACAGGGGUUUAACAUGGGUUUCGAGCUGCAAAUUUUUGUUUCCCCUCCUGCUGGUGCUUGGAGUAUGCUUUGUCAGGAUGUUUUGAGAUCUUGUUUUAUAUGGUUUUUUGAUAUCCUUCUUUAUUCAAAUAGAAUUGUGAUCAUGCUUUUUAGUUUGGCCAAAGGAUGUAGGAGUAGUUCUACCAGUUUGAUCCCUUCAACCCAAUUUGGUUUUAUGCUUGUGUACGUGUGGCUUGAAAUGCUCUGUUUUGUCCAUGUGCAUGUGCAUGAACAAUUAAAUCUUAUUCAGGGGAAACAUUAAUUUAGUUUGGCAUAUGCUUUGUUUGGCUUGUUUAGGUACCUUGUAGACUAUUUAGGUGUACAAUUAAUAAAUAAUCUCAAUGUUUUGUACAUCUCUCUUACUCUCUAUUUCUUUAUAUGUCUUUGUAACAUCAGGUAGACAAUGCAUGUACACAUGAGGAAGUUCACCAGCAAUUCCAAUCUUGUGCUCAGGGUAACAAUUUUGACAGACAAGUUUGGUCAACCUAAAGGAUUUGCCUAUGUUGAAUCUGUUGAAGUUGAUGCCGUUCAAAGUGCUCUACUGUUAAAUGAAUCAGAAUUGCAUGGUCAUCAGAUGCAGGUUUGUAACUUGAUCUACAUGUGGAUUAUUACUUCAUUAAUAAAACCUACAUGAAUACACCCUUUAUUAUAGAAAACAGCAUACGGCAUAAAUUAUUAGCAUGAUGGGAAAAUCGACAAAUGGUUCACUCAUUUUUUUCCUGAUUUUUCUUGUUCAAUUUUGGAGGUCAGGUUCCUUCCCUGUUUACUUUGCAUUCGUACACUUAGCUUCAUAUAUUGCAACUUGAAGUGGUUUUAUGGGUUCAGUAUGUUUUACUCUGUUGAGUAUGUAUCGGACACGGGUGUUCCACAUGAUUAAUAAAAAGAUCAACUGCUGCUGCCAAUAAAUUGGAGCAAGCCGGUUGCCGUAUAACAUGUAUAACAUCAGGGCUUCAAACUGUAAAACUAGGUUAAACAUCAACUACUUGCUGUUGUAAUGACCAUGCUUGUGAUGUAUGCAAGGACCAAAGCAUGAAAUAGUUCUUGUUUUCGCAGGUACAUUUGAUUCCGUAGGUACAACUAAGUUGCAAGAUGUUGGCAAAGCUGGUUUGGUGAUGAGAAUUCAAGGCAAGAAUUCAGCUGUGCUCGGAACAGCACUCAUCUGUAAGUGAUUCAGUAGCCAUCAAAAACUUUCGUUGAAGUCCUUUUUCUCUUUUAAUCUGACCUCAUGAAAUGGCGCAGGCGCAUAUCUGUUUAUAACUUUGUUUUGCAAAAUGAGCCCGUGUUAUAUUUUACCCAACUAACAUCCGAGGCAGUCCAAAAUGAGUCCUUCUCCCUGCCGCGAUAGUAAGAAAUGUCUAUGCAUCAACUUUAGAUUUGACCACCAAGAUGAUUCCUUACAAAAUUGCUUUAGCCAUCAAGCUGCCAAAUGAUUUUAUCGGCUCUCUAGGAGACCAGCUCAUGAAUAGAGAUGGUGUAUCUAAGAUCAUUAAGCAUCUCUUCCCAAUCGAAAAUUUCUUCUAAAGACAAGCCUCCAAGAGCAAUGGUCAAAUCUCUCAUCUACUGGAUAAUCAUGGACUGCAAUGAACCAUAUCUUCUCCUUUAUCUCUCUUUCUUUCUUUGGUUUUAAGAUUUCACUAUGGUUAUAAAUAAAUUGUUUCUGAUAUUUGAAUCUUGCAGGCUGCACCAACUAGUCCCUCUAGGCCGGCUCUUGAAGCACCAGCAAGAACACGAUCAAGGGUUAGAUAGUUGUGUUGAAGUGUCAGAUAAUACUUUUCUACAGUUGGUCUGAGAGUUGAGAGCAUAAAGCAUAAAAUUUGGUUAUCUGAUUGGUUCUCUGAUUAAUGACUUCCAGCAUCCUACUUAAAUUGCCAGCCAUAUAACUUAUUUCAUUGCUCUAAAAAUGUCAAAGGUACAAUUUCUUUUAGUUCUUUUUUUCUUUAUUAGCAACCUAAGCCACGAUUUUAACAGCAGAAUCAAUGUGUUGUGUCAAAGGUUCUUAGCUUGAAUAUAUUUAUUAGUUUAGGAAGAAGUUCUUAGCUUCUUCUUUAUUGCUCUAAAAAGUUUGUUUUUAUUGCUCUAAAAAUGUAAUAUAUUUAUUAGUUUGAAUAGGUGAUAAACAGUGAACCUGUCUCGGGUGGCUCUGCUGCAUCUGUAUCAACCUGGGAAUGUGUUGUCUCACCUGGGAGUGAUACUUGUGGAAGCGUGAGGCAGACAUUAUUUUGCGGCCAAGUUGGCUUGAAGCCUGAUUGCGUAUAGAAACUGUUUGAUAAAAUGCUUAAGAAAAGCUAGUGUCUAUUACUGCCUGACAUUGUUCAGCUCAGAUACUAGACAUAUUAAGUUGGCAAUUUUUUAUAAGGAAAAUCUUUAGGCUUUCAUUCUUGCUAGUACUUUGAUGACUGCAAACCCAUUCUUAAUAUCUAAACUGUUUAUAACAACAUAUCUAGGAGUUUUGUAUGGAUUGAACUGAGGAAAAUAUUUUCCUAACUUUGAAGAAAUUGGACCGGAUUGGAUAAACACGAAAGCUCGUCCUGAAGAUCCAAUACUUAUAUUGAGGUCGUUGAAGAUAUUCUCUUUAAAUAGUAGUCAUGCUGGUUUUAUGGGGAUAUUGAGAUUGAUUGUAAUUGAUAAGAAAGUUUUGAUUCUUUAUAAAUUGAGGACACUUAUAUAGAUGAUGUAUUGAUCUGAGAGCACUUAAUCUUGUUCAUUAAGGAACGUAUCUUUGGGUGUAUUGAGUGAAAAAUCAAGAGUAUUACUUCGGUAUUGUCCUAAGUUUUUAGGAAGAAAACUUAGGAGAAAGUUGUGUAGAUCUUAGAUGGAAAAACAAAGAGUCUAAUAUGGUGAGUGUUAUAUAUAGGUGAUGAAAUGUAGUCUUUUGUAACAAAAUAAAAUUUUGAAUACCUUACAGGAUAUUUUGAAAUUAGGGUGUCGGAUUGAACACUUUACUACUUUAUCGUAGUAAGAGUACCAAAUAUUUGAAUUAACCUUAUUUAUAAAUUUGAAUAGUUGGAUAUCUUAAUUGAACCAUACAUUUUAUAUAUAAAUUUGAAAUUAAGGUGUUCAACUGAACAUUUCACUUUAACAAUGGAUCAAAUAUUUGAAUUACAUGAACUCGAUUGCGCUUUAUAUAUUAUUUUUAUUUCUUUAAAAAUAUUUGAAAAUUUGAUUUAGGUAUAUAUUUUUUUAUAUCGAAAACAAGCAUAAUUUUUAACAAAAAUUCUAUUAAUAUAUAAUGUAAAUAGAAUUAAAUUAAUUAACAUUGCUGAAAUAAUUUAAAUAAGAAAUAAUUAUAAAAAAACAGUUAAUUUUCAUAAUUCCGAUCCAACAAAUCACAAAACAAACCCAAACAAAUUAUAGAUGAAUCUCAUACUAAUAUUGAAACCAAAUCAUACAAACACAAAUAGAUCUUUAACGAAUAAAUUUUAAACAAAGUGACACUGAAACCAAAUCACAUAUAGAAUUUGAGCAUCCUUUCAUCGAAGAAGUAGGAAUGAAAUAUCAAAUCCUUUGUAAACUCCUUUGACCAAAUAAAUUUUUUGGUGCUUUUCAUUUGAGCAAAGCACAUCUACAAUCAUGAAGACAAUUAGAAUUGAUGUUAAUAAUGAAAACAAAAUCAUGAAAUAAUAACAAUAUUGAUGAUUUAAAAAAUUAAUAACUCUUUAAUCAUCUAGAGUACUUUCCAAAAAGCUAUAGAAGAAUUAAAACUCAAUAACUUUUAUUUGAGCAUUUUAUAAAAAAAUAUUUUUAUACGCCAAUUUUGAAAGAUUUAAUUUAUUUUAUUAUUAAAAAAACUCAACAAAUAUUUAUAUAAAUAAAUUUAAUUAAAAAUAUUAAGUUUAUUAUUAAAAUUUUAAUUCAAAGAGCGAGAUAAAUGUCAUACUACCAAAAACAAAUUUUGAAAAAGUCUAACCUAUUAUGCUACCAAAGUUUGCAAAACCGGACUAAUAGUCCAACCGAUCAAAUCACCAAUUCUUGAUUCAGUCAAUCCAACCAAUUUAUUUGGUUUGAUUAAAUAAAUGAUUAAAAAUUUAUAAAAGAAUAAUAUAUAUAAAAAUUUAGAACAUGCAUAAUAAAAAAGAACUUAAAAAAUAAUUAAAAAAAUUAUCAUUAUUUAUAAUUAUAAUUUAAUUAUUUAAAAUAUUUAAGUUUUAAAAUAGUCCAAAAAUUCAUUUCAAAAUUUCUAAGAAAAUAUUUAAGUACUCUUAUAAAACAUUCAAAACCAUAUUUAUUAAUAUCAUGAGCGUCACAACAGUGGUUAAUCAUCUUAUCACCAGUAUUUUCUAAAAUGAUAAACAAUUGAUUACGAAAUGUAGUCAACUCCCUACCACAUUCAUAUUUUUUAUUGAAUGAUAAAUUUAUCCUAAAACAUUACAACUCUAUACUGUAUAUAAUAAAGUUUGGUAUUUAUAUUCAUUUAAAUUAUCCAACUUGCACAAAUCGAGAGAGGAUUGUGGCCCCAGUUCACAUAUACUAAGAUGUUCACUCAAGGCUCAAGGUGUUCACAAAAGGGACUCAGAGUGAAAUACAAGCACACUCAAAAUGAAGUGGGUAUUUCCUGGUUUUGACGAGAAUAGGGGAAAAUUGUGGUUCAAAGGGAUUAUCUUUCUGUAAUUUUUGUGGUUUAGUUCAUAAACAGGUGAAGAACUGAAGUGGGUUUCUACUGGUUUUGAAGAGAAAAAAAAAGGAGAAAGAAUUUUGGGUUCAAAGUGCUGAUCCUUGAGUAAUUUUGGUUCACAUAGGAGCUUUGUUUAGUGCAUAAACAAGUCAAGAUGGAGGACACUUAUAUAGGUUUUUCAUGGUUUUGAAGAAAAAGGUUCAAGGGACUAAUAUUGCUGUAAUUUUGGUUCACAUUGGGGCUUUAGGGUUAGUGCAUAAAUUUUGUGGUUGGAAGACUUGAUUUUCGUUUGAAAUGGAAGAAGUGAUGGGUGGAAACACCGUUCAUCCAAAUUCAAUCAAUAAAUCUGAAGUUUUGGAUGUAAAACCAGUGCGUACCUUGGUUCCUAUAUUCCCGAAGCCGUUCGAGGGUCCUCCGUUUGUUUGUGUGCCUCCUAAUGGCCCUUUCCCGUCUGGGUUUUCCCCAUUUUUCCCAUUUAGUGGAUCAAACCCAAAUUCUAACCCUAACCAAAACGAUAUUGUUGACACCAUUUUUCGGAUGAAAACGGGGUCGACUAGGGUUUUGAAAAAUGAACGGGAGUCGCCACCAAUCCUUUUUUAUAAGGUGUGAUUGGAUCACCUCGAAAAGUGGUUGUUUUUAAUAAACGGUUUGAUUUUAUUAAAGCAACGAUUUUGGUCCACGAAACUUAGAAAAAAAAUAGGUUCGGGAGUCGGUUACGUACGAGGAAGGAUUAGCACCCUCGUAACGCCCAAAAUUGGUACCUAGUUGAUUAGUUAAUGUCUUAAUGUCGAAAAUUGAAAUUUGAAAAAUUUUAAAAAUACGAUCCUUGUAUUAAAAUGUUGAAAAUAUUUGAGUAAAGGGGCAUAUUUCAUGUUAAUUGAGGAAUAGAAUCGUAUCCAGUAAGUUAUGACACAAUGUCUCAAAUUCCCGAUAUGCGAAUGAAUGCCAAAAUUUUACUUAUUUAAAAGAUUAUUUUAUUAUCUCGGGUUUAGAAAAUGAAUCAUACCCAAUAAGUUAGGACAUGAUCUUUUCUUAAUUCCCGAGAUCGUUUUAAAAACUUGAGUUCGAAAAAAUCCGUGUAUUUAGAUUUAUUAUGAGAAUCGAUACCCAGUAAGUUAGGGUACGAUCCUUUCGAAUCUAACACGAAAUAUUAUUUUUUUUAAAACAAAUCUUGUUAUAUCGAGUAAUAUAAAACACGAAAAUCGUAGUAAAAUGUAAAAGCGAAUUACAUUGUUGUUAUGCGUGGUAAAAUCAUAAUACACACAAAAGUAUAAAAAUGAUACGAGUAAUAGCGACAAUAUAAAAUAAAAGUCAUGCUUACAAUCAUAUAAAAUAACAAUGUAUAUAAACAAAUAAAUUAAAACAUUCAUUCAAAAUGAUAAAGAAAAUGAAAUAAAUAAAUAGCAAAUACAAUUAAAUGUAAAGAGAUAUAUAUGAACAUAAAUUAAAAUAUGUGUGCAUAUGUAUAUGUAUUUACAAAGGUUAGAGUAAAUAUCUAUUAUAAGAAAGGUAUGCAUAAAUAUUACGAAACAUAAAAUAUAUGUAUGUAGAUAAAAAAAUAUGUGCAUUAUAAAAAUAAAAUAAGAUAAUAUAUAAUAUACAUAUUUUAAUACGUAAAAAAAGGGGGCAUACAUACAUAUAUAAAAGAAACCAUAUAAAACAUAUAAAUAUGUAUACAUAUAUUCGUAAAAAAAGGGUUAUAUAGAUACACAUAUAAAGAGGUAUUUAUAUAUAUUAAAUAAGUCUAAAAAGGAAAUAAUAAUAACAAUAUUAUACAUGUAUGUAUAUCAAAACUGUCAUAUAAUAAUAGUAUGAUAAGUAAAAAUAAUAUAAAUAAUAAUAUUAUAAAUAAUAGUAAUAAUAAAUGAUAAUACAUUAAAAUAAUAAAAAAAUGAUGAAAAUGCUAAAAAGGGGGCUAAAUCGAAGUAAAGUCUAAAAUAUGGGGCGGAAUCGAAAUAAAAAAACAAAAAGGGACCAAAUUAUGUAGCGCGCCGAAAGAGGGGGACCAAAAUGGAAAUAUCCCGAAUCCCCAAAACGCUGCGCUUAGAUGUGGAUUAAAAUGAACCAAAAACAAAAUUUUGUGGCCAAAUCGUAAAUAUGCAGAAAACUUCCAUGAAAGCGCUAUAAAAUCAGAAGGACUGAUUGCGCAAAUAUUCCAUUUGAAGAAAACACGCGGAUCCUCCCCUAGGUCGGGUCACCGCGCGGGUCAGGGGCCUCAAAACGGCGCCGUUUAAUGAAAUUUUAACCCCUCCCCAAAACCUAGUUUCAUUUGACCGCAAAAAUAAGAAAAAGAAAAGGAUCCCUUCCCCUCCCUCAUUUCGGUUACUUGAACCUAUGCCAUCAUCGCCGCCUCCAUGGCCAGUGGCCGGAGUUGCGUGAGAACGGCCUUUCGGCCUCCCUGAAGGCUAAGCCAUCUCGACCGCGAGACCAAAAAAGGAAAAAAGGAUGAACCACCUCUUUUCUGCCCGACGCCGGUGACGGCCAAGGUGGGAUCCGGCACCAGCUCGUCGAAGCGGUCAGGUAUUUUCCUCUUUCCUUUUUUAAUUUCCUUUUUGUUAAAAAGAGUACUGGAACAAGUAAAAAGAAAAUAGAAAGGAAAAUAAAAAAACGAAUGGAAAAAGAAUUGGAAUCAGCCAUUUUCUUAGAUUUUUAGAUCUACUUUUGUCCAAUUAUUCCCUUUUCUUUUCGUUUCUGCUUUUGCAUGUAAAUAAUGAACACAAAAAAAUAAAAAUAGAUUAAAAAGGAGUAUAAAUGGGUAAAUCUAAACCUUUUUUUGAUUUCUGUUUUCUUGUUCACCAAAUAUUCCAGAGGGAGAAAAAAACCUCCUUUUGAAUUACAUUAGGUUCGGCUUUUAUAGCCGAUUACGUUGUUUUUCUUUUUUACUGUAUUCUACUGUUCUUUUGUCCCUGUUUUCUUCUAUCAUUUUGUCAUGUUUGCAGGUUUUGGGCAAGGUCAACGGGUGUUGGAAGGAUAACCCAGACCAUUUUGGUGCAAAACCGGUCGUGCUUCAGGCGUCGAGUGCGCUGCGAAGGCACGAGGAGAUGUACGGCGCACUGAGGCUGCUAGUUGUGAUGCUGAAUUGGGCUAGG
Molecule: long non-coding RNA, 21261 nt
Filed under: Gossypium barbadense (sea-island cotton)
Lineage: Eukaryota; Viridiplantae; Streptophyta; Magnoliopsida; Malvales; Malvaceae
Description: long non-coding RNA (GBAR_LNC017412)
Source: RNAcentral